Molecule: ribosomal RNA, 808 nt
Filed under: uncultured bacterium
Lineage: Bacteria
Description: bacterial SSU rRNA
Rfam family: Bacterial small subunit ribosomal RNA
Source: RNAcentral
GAAUUCGCCCUUAGAGUUUGAUCCUGGCUCAGGACGAACGCUGGCGGCGCGCCUAACACAUGCAAGUCGAACGAGCGAGAGAGAGCUUGCUUUCUCGAGCGAGUGGCGAACGGGUGAGUAACGCGUGAGGAACCUGCCUCAAAGAGGGGGACAACAGUUGGAAACGACUGCUAAUACCGCAUAAGCCCACAGGUCGGCAUCGACCAGAGGGAAAAGGAGCAAUCCGCUUUGAGAUGGCCUCGCGUCCGAUUAGCUAGUUGGUGAGGUAACGGCCCACCAAGGCAACGAUCGGUAGCCGGACUGAGAGGUUGAACGGCCACAUUGGGACUGAGACACGGCCCAGACUCCUACGGGAGGCAGUAGUGGGGAAUAUUGCACAAUGGGGGAAACCCUGAUGCAGCGACGCCGCGUGGAGGAAGAAGGUCUUCGGAUUGUAAACUCCUGUUGUUGAGGAAGAUAAUGACGGUACUCAACAAGGAAGUGACGGCUAACUACGUGCCAGCAGCCGCGGUAAAACGUAGGUCACAAGCGUUGUCCGGAAUUACUGGGUGUAAAGGGAGCGCAGGCGGGAAGACAAGUUGGAAGUGAAAUCUAUGGGCUCAACCCAUAAACUGCUUUCAAAACUGUUUUUCUUGAGUAGUGCAGAGGUAGGCGGAAUUCCCGGUGUAGCGGUGGAAUGCGUAGAUAUCGGGAGGAACACCAGUGGCGAAGGCGGCCUACUGGGCACCAACUGACGCUGAGGCUCGAAAGUGUGGGUAGCAAACAGGAUUAGAUACCCUGGUAGUCCACACCGUAAACGAUGAUUACU